Dermacentor andersoni is the source of this 1722-nucleotide long non-coding RNA. RefSeq lists it as uncharacterized. The record is from RefSeq and is a predicted model, not a curated record. Lineage: Eukaryota; Metazoa; Arthropoda; Arachnida; Ixodida; Ixodidae.
CAUUUAUAGAUUAAAACGCUCUCAAAUCAGGAUUUAAAUUAUAAUAAUUUGCAAAAAAAAAAACUGUUAGGAUAUAUCAAUAAUGCCGUCUAAACUUGCACGUUUCCAAUCACAGAUCAUGCAGUGUUCCUGACGCGUUGUGGUUUCUUAGUUGGGAUGCUGAGCACGAGGUCGGCGGGAUCGAAUCCCGCCCACGGCGACCGCAUGUCGAUGGGGGAGAAAUGCGAAAACACUGUGGUGCACGUUAAAAAACCCCAGGUGGUCCAAAUUUCCGGAGCGACCCAUGUUGUCGAUGCGUUAUGCCACUGUUGAAUUCACCAAAGCUGAAGAAGUGGAAGUUGUUCCUACAAGUUGGAUCUCCGACAACAAGUGUUGGUGGCCAGCUCACGCAAAGCCCGAAAAGCUUACAUCAAUGGUGAAAAAAAUCGCACCAGGUGGAGUCAACGUGGAAACAGUUUGACAUUUCUGUAAAAGGGUUAUUGGUGGGAGCCAUGUUUUGGUAUGGUGAUUUUUUAGAACAAAAUGAGAGUAAAAACUUGACCAUUGCAUUGUCAUUUCUUGUUUAGCCACAUACGAUCAUGCACGUAAAAAGCUGAAUAAAAGUCAGUUCACAUCGGACCUGAGCAGUGACCCUGACAUGGUUCAAAAAAGACGUUGCCGAGCACCAUUUGUAUACACAGACUCGGAUUAAAGUGACUCGCAACCUUCUCCAAGCUCUGUGAAGCAGCUGCGAAUCCCAGAGGUUCCCGAUAAUAAUAUUCCGCAGAGUGAGGUAAAUGUGGUCACUACAGCUUUGUAACGCAAAAAAUAUAGCUGCUGUAAAUAAAAUAUAAUGAUUACUUUAUUCGUACGAUGGUGCCCCUUUAAAGCUUUCUCGUAGUUUAUGAUUGCUUGCUCUGUCCAACAUCUGUGAAUAUGUCCCAUGUUUUGUCCUUCUGUGCAAGAGAGCUCCGUGGGGACAACAGUGCCAUUCCGGUUCUAUGAGCCUGAGUUCAUUUGCUGUUUCCAAGGUAUUGCUAGAAUUUGAAAAAAGGCACGGUCCAAAUAAUUUAGGUCUCAGCUGUGUGAUAUUUUAGGUGUGAGGAUUGCCAGUACCUUUAUGUUCCUUAGUCAUUACUGAAUGUAGUGAAAUGUGAUAGCGUACUGAUUGCCAACUUUUUUUCUGGGAUUCGACGAGCCUCACCUCACGAUUCAUUCACGCUAAUGAAACAGUCAAUGCCUGUGCUCUCUUCAUGUCUCGUAUUCCAUGUGGCAUUCUGUGCUUUUUUUUUUCACGUUCCCUGAUGUUAAGGUGAAGAAUAAGUGUAUUGCAGUGAAAGAAGUGUACCAUGCUUUUGAAGUACACUGAGGGCUACACCUGGUCCUGCCUACCUUGAUGUUUCUAAAUAUGUAUUAUCGCGAUAGUGGUGCUUAGUAUACGUUCUUAUAUUAUGUGAUCUCAUUUCACUCUUGUAGCACUUGGGGGCUGGAAAUUUUAAUGUACUGCUGUAAAAGCUGUCACCUGCAGCCUUUGUCUUAGUUUGUGGUAAUAAGUUGUUGACAUUUAUUAUAAUGCAGGACUGUUACAUGCAUUAAUUCUCUCUCUGAAUCUUAUAUAGGUUUGCAGUAUCUUGUCUUGUGACCAGUUCUGUGUUUGAAUACUUGUAACACUUGCAUUACUAGCGACUCUGUAUUAAAUCGAGCUUUUGAAAUAGAAAUGAAUAAAAAUAUCUGUGAGAGUGA